GUAAACAAGAAAAGAGAAUAUAAAAAGAAAAAAGAAAAGAAAAAAGUCGCCGUCGUUCUUCUCUGUUAGUUUCAAGAAAAUAAAUUGGCUCAAAAACCGAAGCUAAUGUUCUUAUUUUUCAAUUAUUUGCUUCUAUAAUUAAAGAGAAAUAACAGCAGAAGCAUGCAUUAAUGGCUAAAGAAAUACAGAAAAAAUAAAAAAAUACAGAAAAAAAAUGGUGACAGAGAAAAUAGAGAGAGACGAGGUGCAAAGGAAGAAGAUCAAAGGUUAUUAGGGAUUUUGUGAGAAUCUUCUUAAUACCUCCACAAAGAUUGUUCCUUUGACCGUUAAAUUUAAGACCCACUUUCCCAAUUGAUUCAACUUACAAUUAAUCCUUUAUCUGCGUAGGGGGUGGGGUCGCCGGAGGGGAGGGUGGUCGCCGGAGGGGAGAUG
RNAcentral lists this long non-coding RNA (432 nucleotides) under Nicotiana benthamiana. Its description in RNAcentral is "long non-coding RNA (NBEN_LNC041795)". The record is from RNAcentral. Lineage: Eukaryota; Viridiplantae; Streptophyta; Magnoliopsida; Solanales; Solanaceae.